This 400-nucleotide ribosomal RNA is filed under the name uncultured bacterium. RNAcentral's name for it is "bacterial SSU rRNA". It matches the Rfam family "Bacterial small subunit ribosomal RNA", at positions 355 to 772 of the family's 1533-position model. The record is from RNAcentral.
UGGGGAAUAUUGCACAAUGGGCGCAAGCCUGAUGCAGCGACGCCGCGUGAGUGAAGAAGUAUUUCGGUAUGUAAAGCUCUAUCAGCAGGGAAGAUAAUGACAGUACCUGACUAAGAAGCUCCGGCUAAAUACGUGCCAGCAGCCGCGGUAAUACGUAUGGAGCAAGCGUUAUCCGGAUUUACUGGGUGUAAAGGGAGUGUAGGUGGUUUGGUAAGUCAGAUGUGAAAACCCAGAGCUCAACUCUGGGACUGCAUUUGAAACUAUCAGACUGGAGUGCAGGAGAGGUAAGUGGAAUUCCUAGUGUAGCGGUGAAAUGCGUAGAUAUUAGGAGGAACACCAGUGGCGAAGGCGGCUUACUGGACUGUAACUGACACUGAGGCUCGAAAGCGUGGGGAGCAAA